Herpailurus yagouaroundi (jaguarundi) is the source of this 364-nucleotide long non-coding RNA. RefSeq lists it as uncharacterized. Lineage: Eukaryota; Metazoa; Chordata; Mammalia; Carnivora; Felidae. The record is from RefSeq and is a predicted model, not a curated record. The transcript is spliced from 2 exons.
ACUUGGGUCUGGGCAUUGAAACCUUUAUUAAUACAAAGUGGUUGUUUUUUUUUCUUUUCUUCUCCGCAAUCAUUUUAUGCUAGUGGCUCAAGUUGGCGAGAGAUUAUUUGACACUAUGGUUCGGCCUCCUCUUCCUGAUGUUGCAGUAGCCAUUCUAUGAAGCCUAAGAAGUGUCCCUGACGCGCUUCUCUCAUCUGAAGUCAAUCCAGCCAAUCACGACAGCUUGCUGCUUCUGUCCUCUGCAAAGUUCCCACACCCGUGCGUUUCUUUCACCCCCCCCCCCCACCACGAUCCUGUUCUGCCUUCCUCAUCCAUCACCUGGAUGAGUUUUGUUGUAAAAUAAAAGUCUAAUCUGUCUCCCUGU